RNAcentral lists this ribosomal RNA (600 nucleotides) under Shewanella algae. RNAcentral describes it as "bacterial SSU rRNA". It matches the Rfam family "Bacterial small subunit ribosomal RNA", at positions 78 to 674 of the family's 1533-position model. Lineage: Bacteria; Pseudomonadati; Pseudomonadota; Gammaproteobacteria; Alteromonadales; Shewanellaceae. The record is from RNAcentral.
GCUUUUGAAGAUGACGAGCGGCGGACGGGUGAGUAAUGCCUGGGAAUUUGCCCAUUUGUGGGGGAUAACAGUUGGAAACGACUGCUAAUACCGCAUACGCCCUACGGGGGAAAGCAGGGGACCUUCGGGCCUUGCGCUGAUGGAUAAGCCCAGGUGGGAUUAGCUAGUAGGUGAGGUAAAGGCUCACCUAGGCGACGAUCCCUAGCUGGUCUGAGAGGAUGAUCAGCCACACUGGGACUGAGACACGGCCCAGACUCCUACGGGAGGCAGCAGUGGGGAAUAUUGCACAAUGGGGGAAACCCUGAUGCAGCCAUGCCGCGUGUGUGAAGAAGGCCUUCGGGUUGUAAAGCACUUUCAGCGAGGAGGAAAGGGUGUAAGUUAAUACCUUACAUCUGUGACGUUACUCGCAGAAGAAGCACCGGCUAACUCCGUGCCAGCAGCCGCGGUAAUACGGAGGGUGCGAGCGUUAAUCGGAAUUACUGGGCGUAAAGCGUGCGCAGGCGGUUUGUUAAGCGAGAUGUGAAAGCCCCGGGCUCAACCUGGGAACCGCAUUUCGAACUGGCAAACUAGAGUCUUGUAGAGGGGGGUAGAAUUCCAGGU